CCUACGGGAGGCAGCAGUGGGGAAUAUUGCACAAUGGGGGAAACCCUGAUGCAGCAACGCCGCGUGAAGGAAGACGGUUUUCGGAUUGUAAACUUCUGUUCUUAGUGAAGAAUAAUGACGGUACCUGAGGAAUAAGCCACGGCUAACUACGUGCCAGCAGCCGCGGUAAUACGUAGGUGGCAAGCGUUAUCCGGAUUUACUGGGUGUAAAGGGCGUGUAGGCGGGGACGCAAGUCAGAUGUGAAAACCACGGGCUCAACCUGUGGCCUGCAUUUGAAACUGUGUUUCUUGAGUACUGGAGAGGCAGACGGAAUUCCUAGUGUAGCGGUGAAAUGCGUAGAUAUUAGGAGGAACACCAGUGGCGAAGGCGGUCUGCUGGACAGCAACUGACGCUGAGGCGCGAAAGCGUGGGGAGCAAACAGGAUUAGAUACCCCAGUAGUC
This 441-nucleotide ribosomal RNA is filed under the name uncultured bacterium. RNAcentral's name for it is "partial 16S ribosomal RNA". It matches the Rfam family "Bacterial small subunit ribosomal RNA", at positions 338 to 795 of the family's 1533-position model. The record is from RNAcentral.